CCUACGGGAGACAGCAGUGGGGAAUAUUGCACAAUGGGGGAAACCCUGAUGCAGCGACGCCGCGUGAGUGAAGAAGUAUUUCGGUAUGUAAAGCUCUAUCAGCAGGGAAGAAAAUGACGGUACUUGAUUAAGAAGUCCCGGCUAACUACGUGCCAGCAGCCGCGGUAAUACGUAGGGGGCAAGCGUUAUCCGGUUUUACUGGGUGUAAAGGGAGCGUAGACGGGAGCACAAGUCUGGGGGGAAAUGCCGGGGCUUAACCCCGGAACUGCUUUUGAAACUGGGCAGCUAGAGUGCAGGAGAGGUAGGUAGAAUUCCUAGUGUAGCGGUGAAAUGCGUAGAGAUUAGGAGGAACACCAGUGGCGAAGGCGGCUUACUGGACUAUAACUGACGUUGAGGCGCGAAAGCGUGGGGAGCAAACAGGAUUAGAUACCCGAGUAGUC
RNAcentral lists this ribosomal RNA (440 nucleotides) under uncultured bacterium. Its description in RNAcentral is "partial 16S ribosomal RNA". It matches the Rfam family "Bacterial small subunit ribosomal RNA", at positions 338 to 795 of the family's 1533-position model. The record is from RNAcentral.